RNAcentral lists this ribosomal RNA (934 nucleotides) under uncultured Tulostoma. RNAcentral's name for it is "eukaryotic LSU rRNA". The stretch from base 358 to 511 matches the Rfam family "5.8S ribosomal RNA". Lineage: Eukaryota; Fungi; Basidiomycota; Agaricomycetes; Agaricales; Agaricaceae. The record is from RNAcentral.
CGGAUUGGCUUUGGGGAGCCGGCAACGGCAUCCUAUUGCUGAGAAGCUGAUCAAACUUGGUCAUUUAGAGGAAGUAAAAGUCGUAACAAGGUUUCCGUAGGUGAACCUGCGGAAGGAUCAUUAUUGAAUAAACCUGAUGGGUUGUUGCUGGCUUCGUAGAAGUAUGUGCACGCCUGUCAUCUUUAUCCAUCCACCUGUGCACCCUUUGUAGUCUUGGAGGUAACGAGCGCGAAGCAUCUCGGAGUAUCAUUCCUUGAUGCCAGUAGUGCAAGUUUCUCUGGGUCUAUGUCUUUCAUAUACCACGUAGAAUGUAACAGAAAGUCUUUAUUGGGCCUCAGUGCCUAUAAAACACAAUACAACUUUCAGCAACGGAUCUCUUGGCUCUCGCAUCGAUGAAGAACGCAGCGAAAUGCGAUAAGUAAUGUGAAUUGCAGAAUUCAGUGAAUCAUCGAAUCUUUGAACGCACCUUGCGCUCCUUGGUAUUCCGAGGAGCAUGCCUGUUUGAGUGUCAUUUAAUUCUCAAUCCCCACCUGUUUGUUAUGAACUGGUUUGGUGGAUUGGAUGUGGGGGUAUUGUUUGCGGGCCUCUUCAGAGGUCGGCUCCCCUGAAAAGCAUUAGCGGACCCGUUUGCGGACCCGUCACUGGUGUGAUAAUUAUCUACACUGUGAUGAUUGCUCUCUGAUUAGUUCAGCUGCUAAUCGUCCACUAAUGGACAACACUUAAUGAACUUCUUGACCUCAAAUCAGGUAGGACUACCCGCUGAACUUAAGCAUAUCAAUAAGCGGAGGAAAAGAAACUAACAAGGAUUCCCCUAGUAACUGCGAGUGAAGCGGGAAAAGCUCAAAUUUAAAAUCUGGCGGUCUCUGGCCGUCCGAGCUGUAAUCUAGAGAAGUGAUGCCCGCGCUGGACCGUGUACAGGUCUCCUGGAAUGGAG